AAUUCUGCCCCUGGACCCUUCUCUC
RNAcentral lists this non-coding RNA (25 nucleotides) under Cricetulus griseus (Chinese hamster). The record is from RNAcentral. Lineage: Eukaryota; Metazoa; Chordata; Mammalia; Rodentia; Cricetidae.